This is a long non-coding RNA of Erinaceus europaeus (western European hedgehog), 1560 nucleotides long. RefSeq lists it as uncharacterized. The transcript is spliced from 3 exons. The record is from RefSeq and is a predicted model, not a curated record. NCBI's taxonomy places the organism in Eukaryota, Metazoa, Chordata, Mammalia, Eulipotyphla, Erinaceidae.
GGAAAAGGGGGCAAUCAUGGUGCCGCUGGGUAGGGGAGAAGCUGCCGCUGCCGCUGUUGCCGGGAGCCGCGGAGACAGGUCAUUCAUAUUACCUUUUCAUUUCUCACAAUUGGGCUGAGCACAAUUGAACCAUGGGGGAACACAGUCCAGAGGACAACUUCAUCUACUUUGAAGCAGAGGAAGAUGAGCUGACCCAUGAUGAUAAUAUGCUCAGGUUUGUGGAUAAAAACGGAUUGGUGCCUUCCUCAUCUGGAACUGUUUAUGAUAGGACAACUGUUCUUAUUGAGCAGGACCCUGGCACUUUGGAGGAUGAAGAUGAUGAUGGACAGUGUGGAGAACACUUACCUUUUCUAGUAGGGGGUGAAGAGGGCUUUCACCUAAUAGAUCAUGAAGCAAUGUCCCAGGGUUAUGUGCAACAUAUUAUCUCACCAGAUCAGAUUCAUUUAACAAUAAACCCUGGUUCCACGCCAAUGCCAAGAAAUAUCGAAGGUGCAACCCUAACUCUGCAAUCAGAAUGCCCAGAAACAAAGCGUAAAGAACACCAGGUCACUGAAAGUCAUUUCCACAACAGGCAGUUGGAGCAACAGGCAAAGUUGACGGCUCUUAUAGAUACAGAAUGAGAACUCUGUUUUACAGCAGUGACAGUGGAGUGGAGAGGGUGAGAUGACUUGUAACUCCUUUUGUGUGUGUGUGCGUGUGUGUGCGCGCGCGUACGUGUGAAUUGAGCUUUGUGCCUUUCACCAUUCCCUUUGUACUCUCCUUAAUUUUUUUUUUUUAAUUUUAUUCCCCAGAUAGAUGGUGAGAGACAAAGGGGGCUAAAGAGAAAGUCAAGCACAGGAGAGAUUCCACAGUGCCACUGCAGUGCUUAUAAAACUUCCCAUUUGUAUGGUGCUCCCGGGCGGUGGCCAAGAACUUGAACCUGGGUCCUUACCAUUGGCAAAGUGUAUGCUAUACCAUGUGGCCUAUGCUGGCCCCUGGCUAGCAACUCUCAGUACCUGCUGUGUGCCACUCACUGUGUUACUGUCAUGGGCAUCAUAUGUGCUUUAACACCGUUUUCUGCUUACUUUCCUUAACCUUUUUAUAAUAUUAUUAGUUCCCAUUUUACAAGUGAAAACAACUGAGAUGGGUUGGUUUGUUUUUUACCUGGGCACUGCUCAGUUCUGGCUCUCGGUGGUGUUGGUGUGGGGAUUGAACCUGGAACUUGACAGCCUCAGGCUUGCAAGUCUUUGCGUAACCACUAUGAUGUCUCCUUUACUCAUAACUGAGGCUUAGAAACAUAAGACUAGAGGUGGGGGAAAUAGCAUGAUUGUUAUGGGAAAGCCUUUCAUGCCUGAGGCUCUCAAGUCCCAGAUCAAUCCCACAUGCCACCAUAUGAGCUGGGCAGUGCUCUGGAACUAUUUCUGUUCAUUGUCUCUAACUCCUCACUUUACCUGAUUUCUUUUAUAUUAUUAUUAUUUAUGUUUUUAUAGAGAGAGAGGAAAAGAAAUAUAUACCUAUUUUUUAUAUUUUAUUUAUUUUCCUUUUUUGUUGCCCUUGUUGUUUUUUAUCAUUGUUGUGGUU